GGUCAAGUUAUUAAGGGUGCAGGGCGGAUGCCUUGGCACUAGGAGCCGAUGAAGGACGUGAUAAGCUGCGAUAAGCUUCGGGGAGUUGCACGUAAACUUUGAUCCGAAGAUUUCCGAAUGAGGAAACUCACUUAGAGUAAUGUCUAAGUAUCAUUAAGUGAAUACAUAGCUUAAUGAGGGGAACUCAGGGAACUGAAACAUCUAAGUACCUGAAGGAAGAGAAAGAAAUUCGAUUCCGUAAGUAGCGGCGAGCGAACGCGGAUUAGCCCAAACCAAUAAAGUUUUCUUUAUUGGGGUUGCGGACAUAUCAUAACGAAGAGGUAUCGUAAUUGAAGAGGUUUGGAAAGACCCACCACAGAAGGUAAUAGUCCUGUAUGUUAAACGAGAAGACUUUAGAUAUGAUCCAGAGUACCACGGGACACGUGAAACCCUGUGGGAAGCAGGAGGGACCACCCUCCAAGGCUAAAUACUACCUAGUGACCGAUAGCGUAUAGUACCGUGAGGGAAAGGUGAAAAGAACCCCGGGAGGGGAGUGAAAUAGAACCUGAAACCCUGCACUUACAAGCUGUGGAAGCACAUUUCUUGUGUGACCGCGUACUUUUUGUAGAACGGGCCAACGAGUUACGUUAAGUAGCAAGGUUAAGCACUUAAGGUGUGGAGCCGUAGCGAAAGCGAGUUUUAACUGAGCGUUCAGUUACUUGACGUAGACCCGAAACCGGGCGACCUACCCAUGAGCAGGAUGAAGCGAAAGUAAAAUUUCGUGGAGGUCCGAACCCACGAGCGUUGAAAAGCUCGGGGAUGACUUGUGGGUAGCGGUGAAAUUCCAAUCGAGCCCGGAGAUAGCUGGUUCUCCCCGAAAUAGCUUUAGGGCUAGCCUCAAGGUGAGAGAUACGGAGGUAGAGCACUGAAUGUCCUAGGGGGUAUUGCACCUACCGAAGACUAUCAAACUCCGAAUGCCGUCAUCUUAUACUUGGGAGUCAGACUGUGGGUGAUAAGAUUCAUAGUCGAAAGGGCAACAGCCCAGAUCGUCAGCUAAGGUCCCUAAAUGUAAGUUAAGUGGUAAAGGAUGUGGGAUUGCACAGACAACCAGGAUGUUGGCUUAGAAGCAGCCACUCAUUCAAAGAGUGCGUAAUAGCUCACUGGUCGAGUGAUCCUGCGCCGAAGAUUUCCGGGGCUAAAACUUACUACCGAAGCUACGGCAUCAGUAAUGAUGGGUAGGGGAGCUUCCCAUACGGGUUGAAGCAUGACCGUAAGGACAUGUGGACAGUAUGGGAGUGAGAAUGUUGGCAUGAGUAGCGAGAUGUGGGUGAGAAUCCCACAGGCCGUAAACCCAAGGUUUCCAGGGGAAGGUUCGUCCGCCCUGGGUUAGUCGGGACCUAAGCUGAGGCCGAAAGGCGUAGGUGAUGGACAACAGGUUGAUAUUCCUGUACUACCGAUAACCGUUUGAGAGAAGGGAUGACACAGUAGGAUAAGCUAAGCACACUGUUGGUUAUGUGUGCCCAAGCAUUGAGGCAGUCAAAGUAGGCAAAUCCGCUUUGAUAAUGCUGGGAUGUGAUGGGGAGCGAAAUUUAGUAGCGAAGUAGCUGAUUUCACACUGUCAAGAAAAGUCUCUAUCGAGGUUAAAGGUACCCGUACCGCAAACCGACACAGGUGGGUGAGGAGAGUAUCCUAAGGCCAGCGAGAGAACUGUUGUUAAGGAACUCGGCAAAAUGACCCCGUAACUUAGGGAUAAGGGGUGCCACCAUCAGGUGGCCGCAGAGAAUAGGCCCAAGCGACUGUUUACCAAAAACAUAGGUUUCUGCUAAGUCGCAAGACGAUGUAUAGGAGCUGACGCCUGCCCGGUGCUGGAAGGUUAAGGGGAUCUGUUAGAGCAAUCGAAGCAGUGAACUUAAGCCCCAGUAAACGGCGGCCGUAACUAUAACGGUCCUAAGGUAGCGAAAUUCCUUGUCGGGUAAGUUCCGACCCGCACGAAAGGCGUAACGAUUUGGGCACUGUCUCAACAACAGACUCGGUGAAAUUGUAAUUCCGGUGAAGAUGCCGGAUACCUGCGACAGGACGGAAAGACCCCAUGGAGCUUUACUGUAGCUUGACAUUGGGUCUUGGUACUACAUGUACAGGAUAGGUGGGAGGCUUUGAAACCAGGACGCCAGUUUUGGCGGAGCCAUCCUUGGGAUACCACCCUUGUAGUACUGGGACUCUAACCAUAGGCCAUGAAUCUGGUCUUGGGACACUGUCAGGUGGGCAGUUUGACUGGGGCGGUCGCCUCCCAAAAGGUAACGGAGGCGCUCAAAGGUUCUCUCAGUACGGUCGGAAAUCGUACGUAGAGUGUAAAGGCAAAAGAGAGCUUGAUUGCAAGACAUACAGGUCGAGCAAGGAUGAAAAUCGGACUUAGUGAUCCGGUGGUUCUGCGUGGAAGGGCCAUCGCUCAACGGAUAAAAGCUACCCUGGGGAUAACAGGCUUAUCUCCCCCAAGAGUCCACAUCGACGGGGAGGUUUGGCACCUCGAUGUCGGCUCAUCACAUCCUGGGGCUGUAGUAGGUCCCAAGGGUUGGGCUGUUCGCCCAUUAAAGUGGUACGCGAGCUGGGUUCAGAACGUCGUGAGACAGUUCGGUCCCUAUCCGUCGCAGGCGUAGGAAAUUUGAGAAGACCUGUCCUUAGUACGAGAGGACCGGGAUGGACGUACCUCUGGUGUACCAGUUGUCCUGCCAAGGGCAUGGCUGGGUAGCUAUGUACGGAAUGGAUAAGCGCUGAAAGCAUCUAAGCGCGAAGCCAACUUCAAGAUAAGAUUUCCCACCGCAAGGGUAAGACCCCAGAAAGACUAUCUGGUUGAUAGGUCGAAGGUGUAAGUGCAGCAAUGUAUUUAGCUUAUCGAUACUAAUAGGUCGAGGACUUGACCAA
This 2898-nucleotide ribosomal RNA is filed under the name Clostridioides difficile. RNAcentral's name for it is "23S ribosomal RNA". It matches the Rfam family "Bacterial large subunit ribosomal RNA". Lineage: Bacteria; Bacillati; Bacillota; Clostridia; Peptostreptococcales; Peptostreptococcaceae. The record is from RNAcentral.